RNAcentral lists this ribosomal RNA (467 nucleotides) under uncultured bacterium. Its description in RNAcentral is "partial 16S ribosomal RNA". It matches the Rfam family "Bacterial small subunit ribosomal RNA", at positions 29 to 507 of the family's 1533-position model. The record is from RNAcentral.
ACGAACGCUGGCGGCGUGCUUAACACAUGCAAGUCGCACGGAAAGGCCCUGCUUUUGUGGGGUGCUCGAGUGGCGAACGGGUGAGUAACACGUGAGUAACCUGCCCUUGACUUUGGGAUAACUUCAGGAAACUGGGGCUAAUACCGGAUAGGAGCUCAUGCUGCAUGGUGGGGGUUGGAAAGUUUCGGCGGUUGGGGAUGGACUCGCGGCUUAUCAGCUUGUUGGUGGGGUAGUGGCUUACCAAGGCUUUGACGGGUAGCCGGCCUGAGAGGGUGACCGGCCACAUUGGGACUGAGAUACGGCCCAGACUCCUACGGGAGGCAGCAGUGGGGAAUAUUGCACAAUGGGCGGAAGCCUGAUGCAGCAACGCCGCGUGCGGGAUGACGGCCUUCGGGUUGUAAACCGCUUUCGCCUGUGACGAAGCGUGAGUGACGGUAAUGGGUAAAGAAGCACCGGCUAACUACGUG